Helianthus annuus (common sunflower) is the source of this 1025-nucleotide long non-coding RNA. RefSeq lists it as uncharacterized. The transcript has 7 exons. The record is from RefSeq and is a predicted model, not a curated record. Lineage: Eukaryota; Viridiplantae; Streptophyta; Magnoliopsida; Asterales; Asteraceae.
UCUAAUGUCUUUGGUGCCCAAAAUCAUUUUCCAUUCCCAAAUCACGUUUCACUUUGCUUCUCUAAAAUUAGGGCAACUCCAUCUUUGGUUAUUUUAAUUAAGGAUAUGUGAUUCGUCCUUUGCUUAAAACUAGGGUUAAACUACAUGGGAUUGAUAAAACGAACGGCGAAGUUGCUGUUCAGGAGUCGAAAUAACAUAGUGUGGUGAACAAGUCGAUCAAAAUUGAAGCUUGUAACAACAAUUCGUUGGAAUCUAUGGUGGUUAUAUUGGUAAAAGGAACAAUUAAGAUGAACAUCUAUAUUUAAAGUUGAUGUUAGGAACUGAAAUGAUCAAGCUUGAAGAUCAAACCAUUGGAAACUCAUCAAGCAAAUGUAGUGGUCAAACCUAUACACUGUAGAAAGUGGUUAGUUACUUGCUGCUCAUGAACAGCGGCCAGGCUACCUAGCGUUUUUGUGGCAUAGAUGGGCUAAUUUUAAGAUUUUGUAUUUCGGAUUUUGCGGUUUGAUCCCUCGUUAAGAAGAUGAAGAUGCUAUUUUUAGCCAAUAAUGUUGUACAAAAAGAGAAGGAUCACUAGAGGUCCAUAGUAUUGGUAUUGGUACUUUAGUCCACAACAACUCUUUACCGGUUAACGAAAUAUCAUCUUCAAGAAGAUAUAAUAUUAAUGGACAAGAAAGACUUUUGGACAAUUGAUCUUUAAAAGUUUGUUGACAUUGUAGUUAAGGGUAGAUAUCCUAAGAAGCUUUGGAGCUAUGUUUUAUAACAAUGAAAUUCUCACCUAAAAGAAUGUUUAGACUCCUCGUAUAUGAUAAUGGCAGGGUAGAUAUCCUAAGAAGCUUUGGAGCUAUGUUUUAUAACAAUGAAAUUCUCACCCAAAAGAAUGUUUAGACUCCUCGUAUAUGAUAAUGGUAGGGUAGAUAUCCUAAGAAGCUUUGGAGCUAUGUUUUAUAACAAUGAAAUUCUCACCCAAAAGAAUGUUUAGACUCCUCGUGUAUACAUUAGAAAUUUGGAAUAUGUUUCGGAUCGAA